Dioscorea cayenensis subsp. rotundata (Guinea yam) is the source of this 708-nucleotide long non-coding RNA. RefSeq lists it as uncharacterized. Lineage: Eukaryota; Viridiplantae; Streptophyta; Magnoliopsida; Dioscoreales; Dioscoreaceae. The transcript has 2 exons. The record is from RefSeq and is a predicted model, not a curated record.
UGCAAAUGAUGCAUUCUCUGGAGAUCUGAUCAACUUUGAAGCAGCUAUUCAGUCCACCUGGGAUAUUCAUACUCCGAUCAAGCACAUAUUCACCAACAGCAGCUUCAUUCCACAUGCUUUAUCUGACAUGAAUCCUUCGAUUUCCUGGCGAUUCUCCGGCAAUAUAUCUAACAUCCGCUUCAUAUCGAACAUGCUGGGAAACCCUGCACUUCAUAUCACUCCUUCCCAUUGGAUGAAUCCUGCUUCCUGUCUUUCCAAUAUCAAUCCCAAUUGUCAUGUUCUUAAUCUAUUUCUAUCAGGCCGUGAGCUCCCGUUCUGGGUCAUGAAGAGCUUCCUUACUGCCGGCUUCCACUUCUCCUAAUCUUUCUUCUAUAUUUACUUUUUCUUGUUAUUUUUAGGUUCAGAUUUGUUUUCUUCAGUCUUGUUAUCAGCUUUAGCUUUGUAUUCUUCAGCCUUUAAUAUAUCAGCCUUUCGAGGUUCUUUUUAAAAAAAAAAACGAGAAACCUCAGCGCGAGUGAAAGCAAGGCCGGAGCAAUGGCGGCAAUUGCAAGCCUUCAGAGCGCCAUGGUCUCCUUCUCCCUCAACUCCACCUCCUUCUUCGGCCAACGCCUGUCCUUCCCUCUCUCCAACUCUCCGAUUGAGGCUGUUAUUCACAGCUCAAAUGUUAUGCUCUAUUCAAAAGAACAAAAUGUAGCAAGCAGAGUGGGG